This 1778-nucleotide long non-coding RNA is filed under the name Daucus carota (carrot). RNAcentral's name for it is "long non-coding RNA (DCAR_LNC005101)". Lineage: Eukaryota; Viridiplantae; Streptophyta; Magnoliopsida; Apiales; Apiaceae. The record is from RNAcentral.
UCGGACGUCCGGACUUUCAUAAUUAACCGGACUGGUUAUCAUACUUUCUAAGCAGCUCCUCUCAUUUUUUCAAAAUAUUAGUAUCCUGUCAAAACUUAACUAACCACGAUAAAAUUAGAGAGUUAAUAUGUUUAAUAAUACAAUAUUAUUAAUGCAACAAUAAAUAUUAAGCGCUAAACACGUCACAUACAUAAUAAAGAUAUCUAUGAGUGCAUGAAAAUUAAAUAAAAAUGAACUCAUCUGGAUUUUUUGUAAUGGUUGAUUUCAUGAUUUUCGUCUCCGAACUUCAACAAACUCAAUGUCACGGACUAGCUCCUCCGUUUUAACACAGCCCCACACAAUUUCCGUUACAGCAUCUUCCUCUUUUAACAUUAGGACAUUCAUAACCACCUGUAUAUACUCAACAAGCCUGCAAGUUUCACUAGUUUUCUACUCCAAAAUAAAUGACCACAUGAAACAAUAAAAUGUUAAAUUAUAUCAUAUUAAAUUAUGACACAUAUAAAUCAUAUGCAAAAAAUGUACUCAUGCUCUAUGCAUACUAAUAAAUGUUAAAACAAUGUUCUUUGUGCACCUCGAUAUAUACACGAUAUUAAUAAAUAAAUAUUAAUAUAAGAAUAAAAUAAUGUUAAUAAGUAAUCAAAAGAAUAAAAAGGAAGCACAUAUCUUUGUUCCGUUUGCUCGAUCGCAUCAAGCCACCUAUGAUCCUUUCCGCACAAACAUAUAAACAUGGCAUACGCAUACCACGUACAUCUAUAUUUGCUUCUGGUUUAAUUAUCGCACGUCUCAUUUAUUCCUCUCUUGUGUUUUACGCACCAUUCAUAGAUAAACCUGAAUGUACCAUAAAGAUUCUACGCAUAUAUAAUUUUAGUCCAAAGCAAUAGAUCAUUAUAAACAGUUAGUCAAGCAUAAUAUAAAUUUUAAACUCAUAUCACAAUAAUUAAGAUUAUAUAUAUAUAAUAAUAUAAUCUGAUGAAAGAAUUAUGAAAGACUUAUCUCAUAAUAUGCUUCUAGUGAAUGUAGGAUACCCUGGCGCUUUAAUCUGCCAAUAGCUGACGAAGCAGAGCUGCAGUCGUCGUUGCAAUCUGUUGGAUCUUAGACCAACGGCAGAAUCUUUGAAGCAUAAUCUGGGUAGCACCCUAAAUUCCAUCUCAAAAUCCAAACUGACAACUUAGAUAUAAUUAGCAAAUUAGACACGGAGAGGGAGAGUUUUGUUAAACAAAGAUUAUGUGUGUGCAUAGAUCAAAAGAUAAAUCCACCAGGGACAUAAUCAAAAAGAAAGUCGACGCAAACUUCUUGAUGACCCUGGAUGAUACUCUAGCAAGUUAAACCAUAAAAUCAAUUAAAAUCUUUAUUAUAUACAUACAAACAAUUGCACAAAAUCAAUUCACCAGCAGAUUAAUAAAGAAAAGGAAUAACUUAUCUUUUUAACGAGCCGAUACGUAAGCAUGGUGAAGCCAGUAUACACUCGUUGGUUCCUACCACCUUCGUCGCCCCUUUAGGCUUGGUGUAGACACCAUCAUGCCAUACACAUGACCUGUUUAACGAGCCAAUGAUUCGCAGAUGGUCCGGUAAUUGUUAUCCUGACUUUUCCUUGUCCGGUAUCUUUGCGCACUUCACCAUCUUCUCUGUUCGCUGUGAUCUCACCGUUGGUACAGCGGAGCAGCCUGGGAUGCACUCGCAACUGAAUACUCUGUUAAACAAUCUUAAUACUCCAUAAGACAACUGGAUUAUGAUAUAAAUCACAUAAAUCGGUGCUGAGUUGCAAGACGGGUCACUAC